Molecule: long non-coding RNA, 1468 nt
Organism: Gopherus evgoodei (Goodes thornscrub tortoise)
Lineage: Eukaryota; Metazoa; Chordata; Testudines; Testudinidae
Exons: 4
Source: RefSeq, a predicted model, not a curated record
GCCAUGUGAGUCCAUCAGCAAAAACAACUACAGAACAUGGAGUAGAGUAGGGCUGGGCAGAAAUACCAGAAAACAAGGGGAAAAAUUCAGAGAUCAAACUGGGCACUACAUGCAUGACUGAUCUGUGUUGAUGACUGGUCCUUAAACAAAAAAACAGGAAAGUAAUAAUCUCGUGUGCCUUGAAGUGCAAUGACAGAGUACUCUGGAUAUGCAUCAUUUACUACUAUACAUAGGAAAGUUUGCUUCCAGGUACUGCUUGCUGCCUCCACAUAUCUGAUCAAAAACAACUGACACGAAAAAAACCCAAAGCUGUUUAACCAAAAAAGGAUGGUGGUAGUGGGAGAGAAAUCAGGUGGUUAUGAAAGUGCUACUGCUGUAGACUUGCAAGCAGUUGCUUGCUGGUGUUUGAAGUGAACAAGCUGUGACCCUGGUGCCUGCUGUUUGAAGAUGUAGCCUUGGGUAACCUGGGUGUUAAUCAGAACAUUGCAGUCUAUUUAUCAUUCUCACACUUACGCCACAUUAGCAUAAUAGUCCUGGUCAUUAGUUAUUUGUCCCAUAGGGACAAAAUCAGUCUGUCUGUUGCUAUAAGGACAGAUGUGCUUUCACGGCAUCCUUUAUUCAUCCAUCUGAUCAAGUAGCUCCUUUAUAAGAGCUGCAAGAAUGCAAUGGAUUUUAAGAUUUGAUGUAAUUAUACUGCAAGAGAAAACAACAUUUAAAAAAGAAAUAAUCCAGUUUCUAACCAUUUGGGUGGGCAAAUCACUAUUUAAAAUAUGUUCUAGCCUCAGUAGGAAAGACAGAGGAUAGCUGGGACUACACAGAAUGAAAUUUAGGCUAGAAGCAUCAACCUAAAACUGCUCGGCCAUAUCCAGGGAGGCUAGCCAAACCAUAGGCCCGUUCCUGCAACCACUUAUGCAGAUGAAUAACUUAAAGGGACUUCACAUGAGUAAAAUUACUUCCCCAAGUAUCUGCAGCAUCAAGCUUCCUAUUGCAAUCCAGAUUAGCUGGAACUGUGUUUGCACAGGUUCCUUAAUGUUUCUCCUGACCCAGUGAAGAUGCUUCCCACUCUGACUCUUCUCAGAAAAACACACACUCAUUUUCUAGCUAUCUUGACAUUUAAUUUAAAGGCACACCAUCAACUUAAAAAUUACUGUCUGUCUAAAAAUGUAACCUCUAUUAUUACAAGGGACUCCUAAAAAUUAAAGUAAGUGAAAGAUUAGAGACUGUUUUCUUUCGGUGUAUUUGCUUUGUGCAGUUGACAGCACUUGAUGUAUAUUUUGCUUCUCUGUAUAGUUCAUUUUGUCUGUUACACUAGUCUUUCUCCAUUAAAAAGUGUGGAUAAGGAAUCUAUUUUUGUGAAUAGCCAUUAAAUAUAUUUUGCAAUGCUGCCAGCUUUGGAAAAGAUGAGUCAGAAUUUUGUGGAGCUGCUUUCGGGUGUCUAACUGAAGGAAUGCUGGUGGUUGAAAGAAAA